Molecule: ribosomal RNA, 1236 nt
Filed under: metagenome
Description: SSU rRNA
Rfam family: Eukaryotic small subunit ribosomal RNA
Source: RNAcentral
UCUGGUUGAUCCUGCCAGUAGUCAUAUGCUUGUCUUAAAGAUUAAGCCAUGCAUGUCUAAGUAUAAAUAGUAUACAGUGAAGCUGCGAAUGGCUUAUUAAAACAGUUAUAGUUUACUUGAUAAUCGAAUUUUAUAUGGAUAACCGUAAUAAUUUUAGAGCUAAUACAUGCUGUUAAACCUGACUUUUCGGAAAGGUUGUAUUUAUUAGAUAACAAACCAACAGCUUCGGCUGCUGUGAUGAUUCAUAAUAACUGAUCGGAGUGAAGCUAGUCUUCACUAAAUCAUUCAAGUUUCUGCCCUAUCACUUUGUUGUUAGUGUAUUGGACUAACAAGAGGAUUACGGGUACGAGGAAUUAGGGUUUGAUAUCGGAGAGGGAGCCUGAGAAACGGCUACCACUUCUAAGGAAGGCAGCAGGCGCGUAAAUUACCCAAUUCCGACUCGGAGAGGUAGUGACAAGAAAUAAUAACUCGGAUAGUUUUACUAUUACGAGAUUAAAAUGAGAACAAUUUAAAGAUCUUAUCGAGGAACAAUGAGAGGACAAGUCUGGUGCCAGCACCCGCGGUAAUUCCAGCUCUUAUAGUGUAUAUUAAAGUUGUUGCAGUUAAAAAGCUCGUAGUCUAUCAUCUAGUACUUUGCGUAUUGGCUCACGCCAAAACGUUAAAGUGCUAUCUGUUCGAGAACUUCUUCUACCUUAACUGGUCGGAGAUGCUGAUCGGACAUUUUCCUGAGAAAAAAUUAGAGUGUUCAACGCAGGCUAAUGCAGUGAAUAUUACAGCUUGGAAUAAUAGAAUAAGACUGAAGUCUCUUUUGUUGGUUAUGAACUUUAGUAAUGGUUUAUAUAAACAGUCGGGGGUAUUAGUAUUUAAGUGUCAGAGGUGAAAUUCUAUGAUUACUUAAAGACUAACUUAUGCGAAAGCAUUUACCAAGGAUGUUUUCAUUGAUCAAGAACGAAAGUUAGGGGAUCAAAGACGAUCAGAUACCGUCCUAGUCUUAACUAUAAACGAUUCCGACCAAGGAUCGGGAGGGUCUGCUAAGCUCUCUCGGCACUUUAUGAGAAAUCAAAGUCUUUGGGUUCUGGGGGAAGUAUGGACACAAGUCUGAAACUUAAAGGAAUUGACGGAAGGGCACACAAGGUGUGGAGACUGCGGCUUAAUUUGACCCAACACGGGGAAACUUACUAGGGCAAGACUAAGGUUGGAUUGACAGAAUGAGAGCUCUUUCUUGAUUCUUAGGGU